Molecule: non-coding RNA, 94 nt
Organism: Mycena polygramma
Lineage: Eukaryota; Fungi; Basidiomycota; Agaricomycetes; Agaricales; Mycenaceae
Source: the annotation of a GenBank genome assembly
GGCUCGGUUGCGCGUGGUGCGCAUCUGCCAGCGACAUGUUCAUGAAGCGCACCGCUACAUAGCAGAGUCCCCGGUUCGAUUCCGGGCUGAGUGA